Mus caroli (Ryukyu mouse) is the source of this 424-nucleotide non-coding RNA. The record is from RefSeq and is a predicted model, not a curated record. Lineage: Eukaryota; Metazoa; Chordata; Mammalia; Rodentia; Muridae.
GAAAGUGGGGAAGCCUCUGAACCCUCAGCAGGACAAGGUCUCAUAGGAAAAUGGGAGCAAGUGAGAGGGUGAGGCAAGGGGUGUCCGAUCUGCAAAGCAUCUAAUAGAAUGUCUCUAAGCCCACAGGAUGGAAGCUGGUUCCAAGGUGGAGAAGGUUUGGCCACUCCACCUCCACCCCCUGAGUCCUGGAAUAUCAAGUGUGUGCCGCUAUACUCACUUCAUGUGAUCCUGGAACUGAGCCCAGACCUUCUUACAUGCUAGAUGAUGAACAAGUGAGCUGUCUCCACAGUUCCACAUUUUCAGAAUCAACGGUGAGAUACACUUGUAUUGUUCCUUUAGUGACCCCAGCAAGAGUGUCUUGGAUUCUGAACAAGGAAACAGCUUAUGUAUUUGCCCAUCUCUGUUAUCGUUCCAAAGAACCCGU